RNAcentral lists this ribosomal RNA (206 nucleotides) under uncultured bacterium. Its description in RNAcentral is "partial 16S ribosomal RNA". It matches the Rfam family "Bacterial small subunit ribosomal RNA", at positions 568 to 774 of the family's 1533-position model. The record is from RNAcentral.
CGCGCAGGCGGCUGCUCAAGUCAGGCGUGAAAGGCCUGGGCUCAACCCGGGAAUUGCGCUUGAGACUGGGCUGGCUUGAGUGCGGGAGAGGAUGGUGGAAUUCCCAGUGUAGAGGUGAAAUUCGUAGAUAUUGGGAAGAACACCGGUGGCGAAGGCGGCCAUCUGGACCGCAACUGACGCUGAGGCGCGAAGCGUGGGAGCAAACA